This is a long non-coding RNA of Amphiprion ocellaris (clown anemonefish), 924 nucleotides long. The record is from Ensembl. NCBI's taxonomy places the organism in Eukaryota, Metazoa, Chordata, Actinopteri, Pomacentridae.
GCGGACCGAGAGAGAUCCUUUGCUGAUGGUGGAAAAGUUAACGCGACAGUAGCAGCCUUUUGUGGAGAAAUUCGGAGAUUUGAUAUUGAGAGAUUGAAGGCUGUGAACCCUCGUGAGCUGGAAUUCCCCUUGCUGCGCGUGGGCUUAGCAUGCUCGCCAUUUCCCAUCGCUUCACCUGCUCCAACCUGGUCAUCUGCUCCUCCGUCUGGAUCUUGCUUCAGCAAACACCACCAUCCUCCAGAGACCACUCACCCUGGACCACUGCUGUUACAGGUUUCCAGAACAGUUGUGAAGCUCAGUGUCGUGGCUCCAGCCGUCGCCAUCCUGAUAGGGCUGUCAAUCUUCUUAGCUCCAAGCAAUUCCCAAUUUGAACACUGAGGUUUUCCACUCGGUGCAAAUAUCAUGGAGUACUUAACAGUGACCUUUCCCCCUUCUCCUUUUGACAUCUGGAAUGGUGCCCAAAAGAGCUGAGUGUUGCACAGUCUUCACACCUCCUGAGAGGUAUUUUCAACCAAGUACCACAAACAUGGACGGAGCACUUCCAGCCAAAGGCACCCAGGGGAGCUUCCAAGUGGCAGAGGCUUUGUGCAAAAUGUUGGAUGAGCAUAGAUGGCUAUUCACAUUCAUUUACUACACUAUCUGCACUGAUAGAUACCGCUACAUACCAGUGGGAACGUUUGCUUUAAAUAUAAUCUGGAACGGCCUGCUGUUUGAGAUUUCCCACAGUGCUAUGGAAACACAUCAAUAGUCUAACCGUUAAGUAUCACGUUGUCACAAGCAGACUUACCAUGAAAGUUUUCCUCUCAAGAUACUUGUCGGAUGUGUUGGUCCGCUGCUCCAAAUUGUUCAGUAUCGCUGCUCUAAACCUGCAGGAGGAUGUUGAACAAAUGGACAACUGGCAGUGGAGUUUAAAGGCACCCAAGG